GCAAGGCACAGUUGCGCGUGCCUGUAGUCCCAGCUACUCAGGAGGCUGAGGUGGGAGGAUCGCUUGAGCCCAGGAGUUUUGGGCUGUAGUGCGCUAUGCCAAUCAAGUGUCCGCACUAAGUUCGGCAUCAAUAUGGUGACCUCCCGGGAGCAGGGGACCACCAGGUUGCCUAAGGAGGGGUGAACCGGCCCAGGUCGGACACAGAGCAGGUCAAAACUCCUGUGCUGAUCCGUAGUGGGAUUGCGCCUGUGAAUAGCCACUGCACUCCAGCCUGGGCAACACAAUGAGACCCUGUCUCU
This 299-nucleotide signal recognition particle RNA is filed under the name Cebus imitator (Panamanian white-faced capuchin). RNAcentral describes it as "Metazoan signal recognition particle RNA (ENSCCAG00000009125.1)". It matches the Rfam family "Metazoan signal recognition particle RNA". Rfam says of the family: The signal recognition particle (SRP) is a universally conserved ribonucleoprotein. It is involved in the co-translational targeting of proteins to membranes. The record is from RNAcentral. Lineage: Eukaryota; Metazoa; Chordata; Mammalia; Primates; Cebidae.